Molecule: transfer RNA, 70 nt
Filed under: Tringa guttifer (Nordmann's greenshank)
Lineage: Eukaryota; Metazoa; Chordata; Aves; Charadriiformes; Scolopacidae
Description: tRNA-Phe
Rfam family: tRNA
About the family: Transfer RNA (tRNA) molecules are approximately 80 nucleotides in length.
Source: RNAcentral
GUCCCUGUAGCUUAAUGACAAAGCAUAGCACUGAAGAUGCUAAGAUGUUACCACACGUACCCAGAGACAA